UGGCGUGCGGGGGCGUGACUGUGUAGCUGGAGGCGGGACGCUGGGGGCGUCUGCAAACUUGGUCGCUUCCGGUUUCCGGGUUACUACGUUGUGGCAACGGCAGAAUAAGAAAAGGCACGUCCUAGUGAUGGCUAAUGGAGGGUCCCAGGUGAUUUCUACGUUCCUGGAACCUCCAAGUUCUUGGCAUCCCACGAGAGUUAUCCUAAUACCGUUUAUGUAAUGCUGGUGACAUCAUUAACUCCAUUAUCAUCAUGCUGCUCUUUAACACUGGCUUCCAAUGAUUUUUCUCGAAGAAUGUACUCUCUAGAUGAAGUCCGCAAAUACAUUUCUUACCCAAGCUGGGAGGACAAGCCAGGGAACUGCAGCGGAGCCAGAAGAGCGGUCCUCUUUGCGUGCGAGGAAUGCACUUGACCCACCCAGCCAGGCACAGCUGUAACCACAAGAUCAGCAGCCAGAGAGGACAGCGAUCGGAAGGGCGCCUCGUAAGGAGGACUUGCCGCCCCGCCCACAGCACACUGCCUGGUCAGAGGCUGGCAUCCCGCGGGCAGCCCACCCUGGGUGUCAGCGGUGCUGCGCAGUAAAUAAAGGACCUGCUGCCACCCCGCCGGCUCGGAUGCUGCAGCCGGAAGCUGGCACCUCUGGUCGGAAUACCACGGGACCUCUAAACUCGGGGCAGGAGGUCCGGGAGCGCAUGGGAAGAAAGAAACCGGCCCAAGCGGUGGGGCCCCAGAAGAUUUCCAAGAAUGAGCUCAAAAUGCAGAGCCCUCUGACCACAGGCAGUACGGAACUGCAUACUUACUACAUUUUAUAAUAUUAUUCUAGCUCUGCCACUAAUAACUUGGAUGGUUUUUGCUUUUGGCUUUAUCUUCCCCGCAAAAUAUAGACCUUUCUCACAGUAGUCAAGAUCCAUUAAAUCAUUAAUGGGGUGAAGAUGCGUAAUUUGUAGGCAGCUUUCUCAAAUUCAAGUUAUCUCAAAGUGAAAGAAUGGCAAGCAUGAACUUAUCAAUAAUAAGCCAAGUAUUCUUGAUUUAUGAAAUUUAUAUAAUUAAAGCACCACAUGGAUCUGGAUUAGUUUUUUUACCUUUGUCCUUUGUUUUCCUACAUUUCAAAUGCUGAAUUAUGUCCACAAUAUGUAAUAGCUUAUAACAUAUGGUUCUGUUGAUGUCAUUAAAGGGCAACUACAGAAGAAAAAUGUAUUUAAAAAAUUUUUAUUUGUUUAGACUGAAACAUCUAUAGAAACAAAUGUAUAUUCAGUUGUUCUUUCUGCACUUUAGAAUACCUUAAAACAUUAGAACAUUGUAUUGUAUAUAUUUAUAAAGUAUUAUAUUAUAGAUAUAUUUAUUUGUUUUCCAGGAACAACAGUUUUGCCUAGGGCAGAGCAUCAAUGCAUGUAGAAUUGUAGAAUGUUUAUGCGACCUUACCUUGAAGAGAUCUUAAUCCAGAGCAUGUCACUCAUGACAGGCUUGUGGGUUCAUAAACUCCUGAAAUGUGGUGGUAUGUGUAUUUCUUUCCUAACUCUGCUUAGCCAAUUACCACAAACUUAGUGGCUUAAAACAAUGCAAAUUUAUUAUCUAUAGUUCUGUAACUGUAAGAACGGUAUAUAUUUCUAACUGUCUGAAACAAGUCAGGCACAGGUCUCAGUGGGCUAAAAUCAAGGUGUCAGCAGGACUGUGUUCCUUCUGGAGGCCCUAGGGGAGAAUCCAUUUCCCUGCCUUUCCAGCUUCUAGAGGCUGCCUGCCUUCCUGGGCUUAUGACCCUCAGCAUCUUUAAAGCCAACGAUAGCUAAUUUCUCAGGCAUCACUCUGAUACUCCAUGACACUCCUCUUCCGUUGCCACUUUGCCUUUUCUCUGACUUCGAUUCCUCCUCUUGUAAGGACACUUGUGAUUACAGUGAGUCUACCUGGGUAAUCCAGUAUCCUCAUCUCAAGAU
Kogia breviceps (pygmy sperm whale) is the source of this 1930-nucleotide non-coding RNA. The record is from RefSeq and is a predicted model, not a curated record. NCBI's taxonomy places the organism in Eukaryota, Metazoa, Chordata, Mammalia, Artiodactyla, Physeteridae.